AAUGGCAUCUCCUGUAAAUUACUAGUACCGGUAAGAUCAAGAACAUGAAGUCUCACCAGAUUUUGGAUAACGGGUGGCAACUUGGUAAGUUCCUCGCACCCUUGCAAUUUCAAGGUUUGCAAGUUGAGAAGAAAACCCACAGAUUGAGGUAACUGUUUAAUUCUACUGCGAGACAAAUUCAGGUAGCGCAAUUGCUUGAAAUCACCAAUGGAAUGGGGUAGCUCAGUGAUGGAAUAACCACUCAAGGAUAGCACUCUUAAGCAUCUCAACCUACGCAGCAUAUUCUGCAAGACAUCA
RNAcentral lists this long non-coding RNA (297 nucleotides) under Gossypium barbadense (sea-island cotton). RNAcentral describes it as "long non-coding RNA (GBAR_LNC011609)". The record is from RNAcentral. Lineage: Eukaryota; Viridiplantae; Streptophyta; Magnoliopsida; Malvales; Malvaceae.